AUUGAACGCUGACGGCAGGCCUAACACAUGCAAGUCGAGCGGAUGAAGGGAGCUUGCUCCUGGAUUCAGCGGCGGACGGGUGAGUAAUGCCUAGGAAUCUGCCUGGUAGUGGGGGAUAACGUCCGGAAACGGGCGCUAAUACCGCAUACGUCCUGAGGGAGAAAGUGGGGGAUCUUCGGACCUCACGCUAUCAGAUGAGCCUAGGUCGGAUUAGCUAGUUGGUGGGGUAAAGGCCUACCAAGGCGACGAUCCGUAACUGGUCUGAGAGGAUGAUCAGUCACACUGGAACUGAGACACGGUCCAGACUCCUACGGGAGGCAGCAGUGGGGAAUAUUGGACAAUGGGCGAAAGCCUGAUCCAGCCAUGCCGCGUGUGUGAAGAAGGUCUUCGGAUUGUAAAGCACUUUAAGUUGGGAGGAAGGGCAGUAAGUUAAUACCCUGCUGUUUUGACGUUACCAACAGAAUAAGCACCGGCUAACUUCGUG
RNAcentral lists this ribosomal RNA (484 nucleotides) under uncultured bacterium. RNAcentral describes it as "partial 16S ribosomal RNA". It matches the Rfam family "Bacterial small subunit ribosomal RNA", at positions 30 to 507 of the family's 1533-position model. The record is from RNAcentral.